AGAAAGGGAAGAUUGUCAGCCUGAACAGGAUACAAGUUGUGAAACACCCAUGUCAAUUCCCCUUGAAGGAUCAUCAGAAAAAGGAAAUACUWAUCAGCCUGAACUUGAAACAUGUAUCUCAUCAAACAGGUUACCAACAAACCCAUGUCAAGGAUGUGAACGGUUAAGAAAAGAAAAA
This is a long non-coding RNA of Actinia tenebrosa (Australian red waratah sea anemone), 178 nucleotides long. NCBI's taxonomy places the organism in Eukaryota, Metazoa, Cnidaria, Anthozoa, Actiniaria, Actiniidae. The record is from RefSeq and is a predicted model, not a curated record.